This 31-nucleotide non-coding RNA is filed under the name Rattus norvegicus (Norway rat). Lineage: Eukaryota; Metazoa; Chordata; Mammalia; Rodentia; Muridae. The record is from RNAcentral.
UCCAAAGUAUUCAAGUAAAUGUGCCACCUCC